RNAcentral lists this RNase P RNA (437 nucleotides) under Hyphomicrobium sp. RNAcentral describes it as "RNase P RNA component class A". It matches the Rfam family "Bacterial RNase P class A". Rfam says of the family: Ribonuclease P (RNase P) is a ubiquitous endoribonuclease, found in archaea, bacteria and eukarya as well as chloroplasts and mitochondria. Lineage: Bacteria; Pseudomonadati; Pseudomonadota; Alphaproteobacteria; Hyphomicrobiales; Hyphomicrobiaceae. The record is from RNAcentral.
CCAGCCGGCCGGACGGCCGCUGCCGGCAUUCGAGGCUAAGCCCUCCUUAAAGGAGCGGCGGGCUGCAUUCCGGCAGAGGAAAGUCCGGGCUCCCAGAGGACACGGUGGCGGCUAACGGCCGCCGGGGGCAACCCCAGGGAAAGUGCCACAGAAAACAAACCGCCCACCGGCGCACGUCGCCGGCGGGUAAGGGUGAAAAGGUGCGGUAAGAGCGCACCGCGCUUCUGGUAACAGCAGCGGCAGGGCAAACCCCACCGGGAGCAAGAUCAAAUAGGGGCGGGCGUGCGGGCCGGGCCACCGGUGCCGCAGAACGCGUCCACUCGUUCCCGCCCGGGUUGAUUGCACGAGGCGCUUGGCGACAGGCGUCCCAGAUGAAUGGCCGUCCAGAAGGGCACGAGCUCUUUGGACAGAACCCGGCUUACAGGCCGGCUGGUCUC